Quercus lobata is the source of this 738-nucleotide long non-coding RNA. RefSeq lists it as uncharacterized. The record is from RefSeq and is a predicted model, not a curated record. The transcript is spliced from 4 exons. NCBI's taxonomy places the organism in Eukaryota, Viridiplantae, Streptophyta, Magnoliopsida, Fagales, Fagaceae.
UUUAGUUCUUUACCCUUCCCCACCUUCUCUGUUCUACGGUUUCACAUUUAAUCAUCGCCAGCCUCUCUCCCUUCUAACGGCAACCUCUCUGUUUUCCUUCCUUCUUGUCUUCCUCUCCUUACAAUAUAUAAAUACUGAUAGCAGCUAGACGAUUCAGUUGAGUAUAGGGAUUUUGGAGUAUUCAUGCUUCUGAGGCUGCGCAAGUUGAUGAUGAAGAUACAGCAAUGAUGAACAUUAUCAGGAAUCAACUAUGCUGAUAUAACAAAUUAGCUUUGGCGUCAUUGGCUCCAUCUGACGAAUCAGUACCUAGCAGCUCUAGAAAGAAGAAGUCCAAGUGAUCACUGCCAUGUUCAUGCAAUACAAAAUACACCAUUGUUUCUGCCAGAAAGGUGCUUUUGGAAGGAGAGAAAUGCUAAGAAACAAAGUCUGCAACAACAUUGAAACAGAUGAAAAAUUUUCCUAUUCUCAGGCAAAUCAUGGUCCUCACGGAAGCUUCAAAGUCUAAGAAAGGCAAAUGGAUUGGUGUUUCAUUUUAGUGUAAGAAUUUGAAAAAGUUCCAAUAUGUUCAUGGGCUGUCAAAGUUGAAAAGUGCAUAGGAAGACUACUGCUAUAUUGUUAUCUUUGAGGGUUCUCCCUAUCAAAGUCAUGAGAGAAUUUGUAGAACAAGCUUCUUUAUUUUUUAUUCUAUAUAUAUAUAUAUAUAUAUAUUUUUUGGACUUUAGGUUUCAUGUAAGGUAU